CCCUUAGAUGUUCUGGGCCGCACGCGUGCUACACUGAGUGGAUCAGCGGGUCAGGUUGCGCGAAAGCGUUUCCUAAUCUUUAAAUCCGCUCGUGAUGGAGAUUGACGGUUGCAAUUUUCUGUCAUGAACGAGGAAUACCUUGUAAGCGCGGGUCAUCAUCCCGCGCUGAAUACGUCCCUGCCCUUUGUACACACCGCCCGUCGCUCCUACCGAUUGAAUGCUCAGGUGAGCCAUUCGGACCUUCAUCAUGCCGGUUUCCGGUUUUGAUGAGGGAAAGUCUUGCGAACCUUAUCAUUUAGAGGAAGGAGAAGUCGUAACA
This 319-nucleotide ribosomal RNA is filed under the name uncultured eukaryote. RNAcentral's name for it is "partial 18S ribosomal RNA". It matches the Rfam family "Eukaryotic small subunit ribosomal RNA", at positions 1470 to 1796 of the family's 1831-position model. The record is from RNAcentral.